GGUCUCGUAACUCAAUUGGAUAGAGUAUCGGUUUUCUAAACCGGAGGUUACAGGUUCAAAUCCUGUCGAGGUCA
Molecule: transfer RNA, 74 nt
Filed under: Chryseobacterium lathyri
Lineage: Bacteria; Pseudomonadati; Bacteroidota; Flavobacteriia; Flavobacteriales; Weeksellaceae
Description: tRNA-Arg
Rfam family: tRNA
About the family: Transfer RNA (tRNA) molecules are approximately 80 nucleotides in length.
Source: RNAcentral